Molecule: ribosomal RNA, 466 nt
Filed under: uncultured bacterium
Lineage: Bacteria
Description: partial 16S ribosomal RNA
Rfam family: Bacterial small subunit ribosomal RNA
Source: RNAcentral
GACGAACGCUGGCGGCGUGCUUAACACAUGCAAGUCGAACGGAAAGGCCUCUUUCGGGGGGUACUCGAGUGGCGAACGGGUGAGUAACACGUGAGUAACCUGCCCUUGACUUUGGGAUAACUUCAGGAAACUGGGGCUAAUACCGGAUAGGAGCUCCUGCUGCAUGGUGGGGGUUGGAAAGUUUCGGCGGUUGGGGAUGGACUCGCGGCUUAUCAGCUUGUUGGUGGGGUAGUGGCUUACCAAGGCUUUGACGGGUAGCCGGCCUGAGAGGGUGACCGGCCACAUUGGGACUGAGAUACGGCACAGACUCCUACGGGAGGCAGCAGUGGGGAAGAUUGCACAAUGGGUGGAAGCCUGAUGCAGCAACGCCGUGUGGGGGAUGACGGCCUUCGGGUUGGAAACCGCUUUCGCUCAUGACGAAGCGUUGUGUGACGGUAGUGGGUAAAGAAGCACCGGCUAACUACGU